CACUGCCGAGAAAAGCCUCUAGAUAGAAAAUAGGUGCCCGUACCGCAAACCGACACAGGUAGUCAAGAUGAGAAUUCUAAGGUGAGCGAGCGAACUCUCGUUAAGGAACUCGGCAAAAUGACCCCGUAACUUCGGGAGAAGGGGUGCUCUUUAGGGUUAACGCCCAGAAGAGCCGCAGUGAAUAGGCCCAAGCGACUGUUUAUCAAAAACACAGGUCUCUGCUAAACCGUAAGGUGAUGUAUAGGGGCUGACGCCUGCCCGGUGCUGGAAGGUUAAGAGGAGUGGUUAGCUUCUGCGAAGCUACGAAUCGAAGCCCCAGUAAACGGCGGCCGUAACUAUAACGGUCCUAAGGUAGCGAAAUUCCUUGUCGGGUAAGUUCCGACCCGCACGAAAGGCGUAACGAUUUGGGCACUGUCUCAACGAGAGACUCGGUGAAAUCAUAGUACCUGUGAAGAUGCAGGUUACCCGCGACAGGACGGAAAGACCCCGUGGAGCUUUACUGUAGCCUGAUAUUGAAAUUCGGCACAGCUUGUACAGGAUAGGUAGGAGCCUUUGAAACGUGAGCGCUAGCUUACGUGGAGGCGCUGGUGGGAUACUACCCUAGCUGUGUUGGCUUUCUAACCCGCACCACUUAUCGUGGUGGGAGACAGUGUCAGGCGGGCAGUUUGACUGGGGCGGUCGCCUCCUAAAAGGUAACGGAGGCGCUCAAAGGUUCCCUCAGAAUGGUUGGAAAUCAUUCAUAGAGUGUAAAGGCAUAAGGGAGCUUGACUGCGAGACCUACAAGUCGAGCAGGGUCGAAAGACGGACUUAGUGAUCCGGUGGUUCCGCAUGGAAGGGCCAUCGCUCAACGGAUAAAAGCUACCCCGGGGAUAACAGGCUUAUCUCCCCCAAGAGUU
RNAcentral lists this ribosomal RNA (896 nucleotides) under Staphylococcus aureus. Its description in RNAcentral is "partial 23S ribosomal RNA". It matches the Rfam family "Bacterial large subunit ribosomal RNA", at positions 1603 to 2500 of the family's 2925-position model. Lineage: Bacteria; Bacillati; Bacillota; Bacilli; Caryophanales; Staphylococcaceae. The record is from RNAcentral.